GCCUGGUUGGCUCAGCUGAGCGUCUGACUUCGACUCAGGUCAUGAUCUCACGGUUUGUGAGUUCAAGCCCCACAUCAGGCU
Molecule: transfer RNA, 81 nt
Filed under: Felis catus (domestic cat)
Lineage: Eukaryota; Metazoa; Chordata; Mammalia; Carnivora; Felidae
Rfam family: tRNA
About the family: Transfer RNA (tRNA) molecules are approximately 80 nucleotides in length.
Source: Rfam by way of RNAcentral